AAAUUGAGGUCCGGUACAUGCAAAAGGCUGUCCGGCGCCACCCCCAUGGGUGGCGCCGGACAGCCUUUUAGUCGGGAUGAGAAAUCUAG
RNAcentral lists this small RNA (89 nucleotides) under Paenibacillus sp. P22. RNAcentral's name for it is "mraW RNA". Lineage: Bacteria; Bacillati; Bacillota; Bacilli; Caryophanales; Paenibacillaceae. The record is from RNAcentral.